CACACGACUCUCGGCAACGGAUAUCUCGGCUCUCGCAUCGAUGAAGAACGUAGCGAAAUGCGAUACYUGGUGUGAAUUGCAGAAUCCCGCGAACCAUCGAGUCUUUGAACGCAAGUUGCGCCCGAGGCCAUCCGGCCGAGGGCACGCCUGCCUGGGCGUCACGC
Molecule: ribosomal RNA, 164 nt
Filed under: Oreochloa disticha
Lineage: Eukaryota; Viridiplantae; Streptophyta; Magnoliopsida; Poales; Poaceae
Description: 5.8S ribosomal RNA
Rfam family: 5.8S ribosomal RNA
About the family: 5.8S ribosomal RNA (5.8S rRNA) is a component of the large subunit of the eukaryotic ribosome. It is transcribed by RNA polymerase I as part of the 45S precursor that also contains 18S and 28S rRNA.
Source: RNAcentral